CAAUUUAUAGGUUUUCUAAUUUACGUUAUUUUCCAUGUGUCAUCUGAUUUACCUAUUUUAUGGCUUCCCGCUCAAUCUCUUCCGAUUUCUUAGCUUGGUCAUUUCAAAAUGGUUUCCAUGAAUAUCUCCCAAAUAUACGCACACAUUUAUUGCUAUUCUGCUUCGUAUUCAAAUUUCAAUUUGAGAAAAUGGCAACGCUAUUUAUUUCAUAUUUAAAAUCCCGUAUUCUAAAUUCAAUUUAGAAAUUUGUUUGAGUUCAUAUUUGGAUUGAACAGCUAAUUAGAAUCAUCUGAUGGAAUUGGACGUAUUGUUAAUGCAUCUUUUUCAUAUCAAAUGAGAGAAUGUGCGGUUUGAUUUUGUGGAUUUGGCAUAGCUUCUGUUGUUUGAUUCCCGAUCGAGAGAGAUAGAGUUGGAGAGAGCACACACGAUUGAUGGAGAUAUAAAUGUUAAUUAUAUGAGAAUAAUCUAGGGUUUUUGGUUUUCUGCUUCAGAUUGAUGGAGAUGGAGGGGGAAUGUGCUGCAGGAGAAGAGGUUCAACAAGGAAAAAAUAUUGGCAUUUUGAUUUUAAGGCCAGACCACUACUUUUCCAAUUGAAAACUGAUCUGUAAUGGAACCCGUUGCAUAUAAUUGUGCUUUUAUUCCAGAAAGCAGCUCAUGAUUCACAUUUUAAGACCAACUCGUGGUGACUGAUGUUUCUAAUGCUGGAAAUUGCUCUCAAGCUUGGCUGUUUUUUUAUUUGGCUUUUGAUUUCAUCUACCAAGCUUGAAUGCAUGAAGUGCUGAAGUGCUCUGUAUCCUCUUCUGAUUGUUUGCUAUUGUCAUGUGUCCUGUGGAAGUCUAAAGUCCAUUGCUCUCUAAAUGGUUUGCCUUUGGUCCUUGCUGGUGGUUGCUCUCAAGAUUGGUUUGAUAAAGUUUGGAGUUUGAUCUCAUCCAUCUCGAUUGAAUGAUGUGAAUACUCUAUUGAUCUUUUUUUUUUUUCUAUUGUUAUGUUCCUUUUCAAAAGCCCAAAGUUUCACAUUUUAAUUGGGUUGAUCUUAAUUUUCCUGGUGGUGUUUUUGUUGAUACUAUACUACGCUAAAAAAUGUUCAAUUCUAUUCUUGGGGUUUGGUCCUCCCUUGGUGCUCUUUCAAGGAUCAUGUGUUUCUUAUGUUAUGUUUUGUAUUUGUUGGACUCCAAAUUUCGUCACAUCAAAAUAAUGAAGCAAUAGAGAUGUA
Non-coding RNA from Lactuca sativa (garden lettuce), 1213 nucleotides. Lineage: Eukaryota; Viridiplantae; Streptophyta; Magnoliopsida; Asterales; Asteraceae. The record is from RefSeq and is a predicted model, not a curated record.